CGCAGCCGCGGUAAUUCCAGCUCCAAUAGCGUAUAUUAAAGUUGUUGCAGUUAAAAAGCUCGUAGUUGAAUUUCGGGAUCAGUUGAUCGGUCGUGCCUCGGUACGUACUGGUCAAAUUGAUUCCUACCUUCUGACGAACCACGAUGUCAUUAAUUUGGUGUCGCGGGAAAUCAGGACUGUUACUUUGAAAAAAUUAGAGUGUUUAAAGCAGGCUCGCGCUUGAAUACAUUAGCAUGGAAUAAUGAAAUAGGACGUUUGAUUCUAUUUUGUUGGUUUCUAGGAUCGACGUAAUGAUUAAUAGGGAUAGUUGGGGGCAUUAGUAUUCAAUUGUCAGAGGUGAAAUUCUUGGAUUUAUUGAAGACUAACUACUGCGAAAGCAUUUGCCAAGGAUGUUUUCAUUAAUCAAGAACGAAAGUUAGGGGAUCGAAGACGAUCAGAUACCGUCGUAGUCUUAACCAUAAACUAUAGCCGACUAGGGAUCGGAUGAUGUUAAUUUUUAAUGACUCAUUCGGCGCCUUAC
Molecule: unclassified non-coding RNA, 520 nt
Filed under: uncultured Glomus
Lineage: Eukaryota; Fungi; Glomeromycota; Glomeromycetes; Glomerales; Glomeraceae
Description: SSU rRNA
Rfam family: Eukaryotic small subunit ribosomal RNA
Source: RNAcentral